CCACUGAAAGAUAACAAACAGCAUGAAAAUCCUACAGCCUCUACCCGGGGAGAGGAGGAAUGGCAGCGAUGCCAGAGGAAGGAGCUCGCCAUACAGACAUUCACUACCUCGAGAUAAUUAAAGAUUUCAGGACAAGGAGCUGAGGGUGAAGUCUGACAGUCCCAACAGGGGAAACCAUGACUUGCACAAAGGAUGCACCUAAAUUUAGAUGUGUCCGUGUGAGCCGGGACUACACUGCAGCCGCAGCAUUUCCAGAGGGAAUAAAGCCUCUGGUUCUCACCUACUUCAUUACUAAAAUAUUUUCCUCUCAGAUUUA
Long non-coding RNA from Oxyura jamaicensis (ruddy duck), 316 nucleotides. RefSeq lists it as uncharacterized. The transcript is spliced from 2 exons. The record is from RefSeq and is a predicted model, not a curated record. NCBI's taxonomy places the organism in Eukaryota, Metazoa, Chordata, Aves, Anseriformes, Anatidae.